This 22-nucleotide unclassified non-coding RNA is filed under the name Chlamydomonas reinhardtii. RNAcentral's name for it is "small RNA Cre_0351". The record is from RNAcentral. Lineage: Eukaryota; Viridiplantae; Chlorophyta; Chlorophyceae; Chlamydomonadales; Chlamydomonadaceae.
ACGUCAAGGCGCCGGAGCCAGC